AGAGAGGGGAGACGAUCCCUCUUUUCUAGACAGAGGAAGCAUCUCUCCAGAAAUGCAUUUCUUCAUAAAGUCUCAGAAGAAUCUUAUCAUCAUGGAGGAAGCUUCUAAGCCCAUUUGACCUGACUCUGGCACCUGUCCUGCUGGCUUGAUCUUGCCUGGAAAUAGCGACCGUUUUGGAUGGAACAUUGCCUAAGAGCUUCUUGAGAAAAUGCAGAGAGAACUGGACAUCCUGCCAACACAACAAAAGAAAACUGCUCCUAUGUUGCUAAUGUAUAGGGCUGGUCGAGUGAGCACCCUCUUCAAGAGACAGCAGUGAAGUCAUCACGGCUCAGUAUAG
Long non-coding RNA from Acomys russatus (golden spiny mouse), 337 nucleotides. RefSeq lists it as uncharacterized. The transcript has 3 exons. Lineage: Eukaryota; Metazoa; Chordata; Mammalia; Rodentia; Muridae. The record is from RefSeq and is a predicted model, not a curated record.